AAAUUUCCAAAACUUGAAAGAAAACAUUGGUAUGAACAGUCUCACUAAUAGUGAACAGGAUGAUAUUUGGCAACCAGUUGUAAUUGUUCAGAACAAAAUAGAAAAUUCAAUUGUCUACGAGGAAUCUAUUCUAAUUAUUCCUAAAAAUAUAACAAGGUUUAUCCCGUCAGGCAUUGAACACUUUCAAAAUUACUUCAUUUAUACUGGAAAAGAAGUCCUAGUAAGGAAAAAUACAACCUUUAGUUCAAAGCUUGCAUGUGAAUUUAAUCUACGCUGGUUCCCAUUCGAUGAACAGUAUUGCACCAUUGAUCUUCUACUCACAGAUAAACAGAAGAAGUUGGUUGAGCUGGAACCAGGGAGAGUGGGAUACCAUGGAUCUGAUAGUAUUGCAGAUUAUCUAGUUGAGUCUAUAACCAUGUGUAGGUUUCAGUUCUUAGGAAGAGAGGGGAUACGAAUAGAGAUAAAGCUGGGUAGACAACUAAUCUCAUUCUUUGUGAUCUCAUGUCUGCCAACUCUUAUCAUGAACUUCAUAGCCCACCUUACCAACUUCUACAGUGACGAACAUUUUGAUGUCUCCAUUACUGUAAAUCUGACUGUGCUCCUUGUCUUGACAAACAUGUAUGUACAUAUAUAUAAUUUUAUAGGGAUAAAUAUUUAUUGUUGAUAGAAGAGUACAUAUUUUCUUUAAACAAUUAAUUUCUUUCCCUGUCCUUUCUCCCUAAAUAUAUUACAUAUUCUUUUAACAUUAGAAAAUUUUUGUACAGAGCUUAAGUAUUUAAGAAGCACGCAAAUUAAAUCCAAUUUUACCCUUCCCCCGCGAGCUAUAAGAAAAUGGGUUAAUUCUUAAAGAUGUAUACCCCUUGCACUAAUGGUCAAUGCCAUUCUAUUGCAUUGGGAUUCAAAGUCCAAGCAUUAAAAGUUUUUUUUACAAUUUAAAAAAUAAUAAUUUUGUAUAAUAAGGUAUAUUGGAUCAAAGACAGGAUAUAUGAAGAUGAUUGAUAUUUGGAUGCUGUUUAGUGUUCUUGUAACUUUCUUGGAAGUUUUGAUUCAGACAUAUUCUAACUCCCUUAGAAAGAAUUUGGUCGCAAUACAACCAGAGCUGACUCUGAGAAGUAACAGGAAGGAUAUAAUUGAUACAGGGAACCAGAAAAUCCUGGUGGCUAGAUAUUUGACGAUGUAUAUAAAACCUACAAUAUUUGUUCUAUU
Long non-coding RNA from Eurytemora carolleeae, 1206 nucleotides. RefSeq lists it as uncharacterized. The record is from RefSeq and is a predicted model, not a curated record. NCBI's taxonomy places the organism in Eukaryota, Metazoa, Arthropoda, Copepoda, Calanoida, Temoridae. The transcript has 5 exons.